Non-coding RNA from Vigna umbellata (rice bean), 736 nucleotides. The record is from RefSeq and is a predicted model, not a curated record. Lineage: Eukaryota; Viridiplantae; Streptophyta; Magnoliopsida; Fabales; Fabaceae.
UAAUCUAAUUCUCUGAAACUAUCACUAAACCCUAACCUCCUUCCCCGCCUUUAUCAAAUUCUCCCCCAAACCCUUCACAGCACCACAAUCUUCUCCUGCUCUCCUUCGUGUUCGUCUUCUCCUGCUCUCCUUCGUGUUCGUCUUCUCCUGCUUGAGAUAUGUGAACAUUUGAUGAUUUAUCUGAUGAUGGAGGCGUCUAUGACUCUGUAGGAAAGGGGAGCCAAAAUACCUGCACAGUGUUGGAGCUGUUUGCACUCGCUGCUCCUCCUCCUCCAUAUCUGUCCGUGGUGUUGCUUGGAAUGUUUGAUUGUGAAUCAAGUGCCUCUUUCUGAUACGAGUUACUUUCUUGUUCUCCUAUCUUGCACACUCUGCCUCCACAAAUUUCUACAAAGCUUCUGCCUCCACAAAUGAUCUACCGGUAUUUUUGUAGGUCCCAAGCUCUGAAAUAUUCUUCAGUUUGAAUGCUACUAUUGUUGGCUUAGCUGUUGAUUCUGAAGGACCUGAAAAUUUACCUUGGUGUUUUGGCCUUGGGAUUGUGAGGGGCAUUGACACAGUAAAAGGUGUGCUAUAUGUCAUUACUCCUGUGCCACAUAGUUCCUUGGAAAAGGUCAACCUCUUGCUACAGGGUUAUAUUCAAAUUCCCUCUUGUUUGUUGCAGGCAAGAUAUUGUUUUACAUGCUUUUUCUUUCUUCUUAACAUAAUAUUACAGAAAUGAAAGAUAAUAUGUUGAAGUUCA